This 110-nucleotide ribosomal RNA is filed under the name uncultured eukaryote. RNAcentral describes it as "partial small subunit ribosomal RNA". It matches the Rfam family "Eukaryotic small subunit ribosomal RNA", at positions 1676 to 1785 of the family's 1831-position model. The record is from RNAcentral.
UCGCUCCUACCGAUCGAACGAUCCGGUGAAGUUUUCGGACUGUCGCUGCCUAGUGGUAACACUGAGCGGUGGUGGGAAGUAACCUAAACCGAAUUGUUUAGAGGAAGGAG